AUUAGAUGCGAGAAAAUACGUAGAUAAACCGGACGUUAAAAUAACGCCAGAGUGUCUAAAGUUAGACCCGAAGCCUGGUGAUUUUACCAUAGUCAGGAUUAUAAAAGUCCGAACGGGUUGUUGUAGCAAUAACAUCCGAAGAACUGUGGUAGGUGUAGUGAAAGACAACACUGACUUGGAUAGCUGGUUUUCUGCGAAACCUAUAAUAGUAGGAAAUUUAAGUAAAUAUAUCUUAGCAGGUACAGAAAUUAAUCUCAGACAAGGCAAUUUCGUCUUAUUUUGUACAAAUUGGGGGAUCAUAAAGAUUUUAUCAGUGAGUAUGCAGACUCGGAAUGGCAAAGAUAUAACUUGAAUUAUCAGACAUAGUAUGAUAAGGUAGUAUGUCAAAAGGGAAACAGCCCAGAACAAGAAUUAAGGUUCCUAAAUUAUAGUUAAGUGAAAUGAAGAAGGUCUUUAUUCAAGUCGACAAGGAGAUAGGCUUAGAAGCAGCCACAAUUUUAUGAUCUCGUAACAGAGCGCUUGUUAAGUUAUAAAGGCAUCAAUAAUAUAACGGAUCUAAACUAUAUACCGAAAUCUUGUCCAUAAAAUGUUAUAAUAAAUACGUAGCUGCUUCUUAUGCAUGCCAGUAAUAUAAUAAUUUUAUGGGGUAGCAGAACGUUGAGUUAAAUUAUGACUUUUAUUUUUUAAAUAAAACUAUAAUGAUCGAACUCAAGUGAUAAUGGUGACAUGAGUAACUAAAAGAAAAUUUAUUUUCCGCCUUAAGCUUAUGGCUAGAUUUAAGUAACGGCCUCUAAGUUUAGAUAUAAUCUAAAGAUUUAAACGAUGAGAAAAUCUUUUUUACUAAUGACGACAUUUUAAGUGAAAAAUGUACUGGAAAAAUAGUAAUAUAUUCGUUCAUAGCUGUAGCAUUAGUUACAGCUAGUAAACGGAUGAAAAAUAACCGUACCUAGAUACUGAAACAAGUAAGCAAGUAGAGUAUACGAAGGCGUGAUUGAGCUAACAAUCAUAAAGGAACUCGGCAAAUUGACUACUGUAACUUCGGAAUAAAGAGGGCUCAUUAUUCUUGAUUAAUAUCAAGUAAAGAGGAAGAAGCAUGGAAUAAUGUUGUACGACUGUUUAAUUAAAACACAGCACUUUGCUUAAAGAUAAAAAAAUCUAUGUAUAAAGUGUGAAAUCUGCCCGGUGCCGGCUGGUUAAUGAAGAUAAUUAAAUGAUCUAACAUUUGAUGUUGACAGAACCCCCGGUUAAAGGCGGCCUUAACGUGAGGGUCCUAAGGUAGCGAAAUGCCUUGGCCGUUAAAUGCGGUCUUGCAUGAAUGGUGUAACGAUACAACAGCUGUCUCUAUGAUUGACUCAGUGAAAUUGGAAUAGCUGUGCAGAUACAGCUUACCUCUAGUUAGACGAGAAGACCCUAUGCAGCUUUACUGUCACUAAUUAUAGAUUUUGAUGAACAAUUUUCAGACUAAAAGGGAAUUGAUUAAAUAUUCAUGAGAAACCUUUAUUUUUUUCUUCAUUUGAAUGAAUUGAUAUACCUACAAACGUUAGUAUAUCAUCCUAGUUCAGCCUAGUUUCUUAGUUUACUAAGAAAUAGGUACCCUUGGAGAGGAACUAUUGCUAGGGGACAGUUUAUGUGGGGCACAGACCCUGUAAAGAGUAAACAGGUGUGUCUAAUAAUUAUUUUUAUUUUGUUUGCUAUUUUUUUAUAAAUCGUAUUUACUUUGAUAUAACUGUAACAUAGUAUUUCGUAAGAAAACUAUAUGAUUAUAUUUAUAUCGAAAAUUUAGGUAAGAUUUUGACUAUACUGAAAUUAGAGAUAAUUUAAAAUUUUAUGUAAUUUUUUACUAAAGUUUUAUAGUUAUUUAAACUUACGUUUAAAUAAUUAUGUUUUUAAUAUCUAAAAAGCUCAACGGCUUAAUCUUGCCUUACUGUUUGAUUAUCGACAAAUCUUACAGUUGCGUAAGCAGGGCAUAGGAUCACAAGAUGCAAUAAGGAAAGAUCUUGGAUUAUUGGAAAAGCUACGCUAGGGAUAACAGGCUAAUUUGCGCAAGAGUGUACAAAAUGAGUGCGCGGUUUGGCACCUCGAUGUCGGCUUAACUUCUCCUCAUGGAUGCAGAAACUAUGUAGGGUGCGACUGUUCGUCGAUUAAAAAGUUACAUGAGCUGGGUUAAAUACGUCGUGAGACAGUAUGGU
RNAcentral lists this ribosomal RNA (2189 nucleotides) under Saccharomyces pastorianus. RNAcentral describes it as "bacterial LSU rRNA". It matches the Rfam family "Bacterial large subunit ribosomal RNA", at positions 649 to 2635 of the family's 2925-position model. The record is from RNAcentral. Lineage: Eukaryota; Fungi; Ascomycota; Saccharomycetes; Saccharomycetales; Saccharomycetaceae.